This 940-nucleotide ribosomal RNA is filed under the name Bacillus licheniformis. Its description in RNAcentral is "bacterial SSU rRNA". It matches the Rfam family "Bacterial small subunit ribosomal RNA", at positions 41 to 964 of the family's 1533-position model. Lineage: Bacteria; Bacillati; Bacillota; Bacilli; Caryophanales; Bacillaceae. The record is from RNAcentral.
GGCGUGCUAUACAUGCAGUCGAGCGGACCGACGGGAGCUUGCUCCCUUAGGUCAGCGGCGGACGGGUGAGUAACACGUGGGUAACCUGCCUGUAAGACUGGGAUAACUCCGGGAAACCGGGGCUAAUACCGGAUGCUUGAUUGAACCGCAUGGUUCAAUCAUAAAAGGUGGCUUUUAGCUACCACUUACAGAUGGACCCGCGGCGCAUUAGCUAGUUGGUGAGGUAACGGCUCACCAAGGCGACGAUGCGUAGCCGACCUGAGAGGGUGAUCGGCCACACUGGGACUGAGACACGGCCCAGACUCCUACGGGAGGCAGCAGUAGGGAAUCUUCCGCAAUGGACGAAAGUCUGACGGAGCAACGCCGCGUGAGUGAUGAAGGUUUUCGGAUCGUAAAACUCUGUUGUUAGGGAAGAACAAGUACCGUUCGAAUAGGGCGGUACCUUGACGGUACCUAACCAGAAAGCCACGGCUAACUACGUGCCAGCAGCCGCGGUAAUACGUAGGUGGCAAGCGUUGUCCGGAAUUAUUGGGCGUAAAGCGCGCGCAGGCGGUUUCUUAAGUCUGAUGUGAAAGCCCCCGGCUCAACCGGGGAGGGUCAUUGGAAACUGGGGAACUUGAGUGCAGAAGAGGAGAGUGGAAUUCCACGUGUAGCGGUGAAAUGCGUAGAGAUGUGGAGGAACACCAGUGGCGAAGGCGACUCUCUGGUCUGUAACUGACGCUGAGGCGCGAAAGCGUGGGGAGCGAACAGGAUUAGAUACCCUGGUAGUCCACGCCGUAAACGAUGAGUGCUAAGUGUUAGAGGGUUUCCGCCCUUUAGUGCUGCAGCAAACGCAUUAAGCACUCCGCCUGGGGAGUACGGUCGCAAGACUGAAACUCAAAGGAAUUGACGGGGGCCCGCACAAGCGGUGGAGCAUGUGGNUUAAUUCGAAGCAACGCGA